GGGGGGGAAGGACGUCACUAGCAAGUUAUCCAGGUGGGGCUGCAACGAGCAGUGGAAGACGGUGGCAGAUCUCGAUCUCGUCGUGGAGAUGAAGAAGGCCGGGGUCUUCGCCGCCUCUGUAGCUGCCGCCUCUUCCGCCGCUCUCGCCGCCGGCGACCACGCCACCAACUUCCCCUUCCCCUCGUCCUCCUCCAAUGAGGGAUCGGGAUCGGGAACGUCGAAGAAGAAGGACACCGCCGCUGGAUCGGGGUCGAGAAGGGGAGGGGACGACAAAUUCGCCCCGAGGUUCGACGGGCUCAGGUUCAUCGAGACGCUGGUGACGGCUCAUCGGUGACUCUAUGAAGAACACCACCACCACCACCACCACCAUCAUCACCAGUUCUCUUUGCUUCCGCCGCCGACAGGUGACCCUACGAAUUGUUUGCUAAUCUUAAAUUUCAUGAUUUAACUAUUAAAUGGUUUAAAGGAGCCCGAGAGUGGUUUGAAAAGGGGGCAAGGAGAAGGGAAGGACAAGAUUAAUGACUACUAUAUUAAAGUCUUUCGGAAAAGAAAGCUUCAGAAAUUAGAAAAAAAGAAAAGGCGCAGCAUGCACCUCAGCGAUUCCCCGUGCUGCAGCAGCUGAAAGGCCUCGUUUAUCUCACCAAAUGGCAGCUCAUGUGUUAUGAAUCCAUCCAAAUUUAUUCUGUCAUCCUGUGAGAAUGAAGGUGGGCAUUUCAGCACAUUAUGUCAGAUAGAAACACAGCGCUGUGACGUGCUACAACAGAUCAUCCCUGCAGGCACUCACCCCAUGCAUGCAUUUCUCCACAAGGUCUGGCAACUGUGACUUCCCCUUGAAACCUCCAAAGACACUGGCUGCUAACCUCCUGUAAUAGAGCUCCAUGGGAUGUACAGGCAACAGUCUUGGUGUGGGAUGGAUCCCCAUCAUCACUGUCAAACCCCAUCCCUGCUCAUCCAGUAAUAAAUAAUACACGCUUUAAGCGACAUUAAUCA
Musa acuminata AAA Group (dessert banana) is the source of this 990-nucleotide long non-coding RNA. RefSeq lists it as uncharacterized. NCBI's taxonomy places the organism in Eukaryota, Viridiplantae, Streptophyta, Magnoliopsida, Zingiberales, Musaceae. The record is from RefSeq and is a predicted model, not a curated record. The transcript is spliced from 4 exons.